Molecule: unclassified non-coding RNA, 3368 nt
Filed under: Octopus sinensis (East Asian common octopus)
Lineage: Eukaryota; Metazoa; Mollusca; Cephalopoda; Octopoda; Octopodidae
Description: nicotinate phosphoribosyltransferase, transcript variant X3
Source: RNAcentral
CCUGACACCGAUUCACCUUGUUGUGAAGGUCGGACCAACUUGCGUGUGGCGGCUGUUUCACAUUUAUCUGUUCUUCCUUCACAGCGUGUCUGUACGCCCCGAUGUAUGUUUCAAGGCUGGGCUAAGGACCUACCAUAUCCCCACGGUCUCUCUCUUCGUAAAAAAAAAAUACGCGUGGAUUAAUGGAUUAGUCUUGGCCUUGGCACCUAAACGGUCUUUUAUUGAUUCAGAUGAAUUUUGUGUAUUUCCAGGAAAUAUUGCGCCGCCGCCGCCUCCCGCCGAUGAUUUCACCAGAUCAGCCUUGUUGAUAUUAUUCUUGUUGUUGUUAUUCUGCUCGGAAAAGUGAGAAGUAAUCGGAGAGUAAUGUGCUUUUUCUCGUGAAUUUAUUUGAAAUAUAAUACACGAAGUAGUAAAGUAUAUAUAUAAAUAUAUAUAUAUAUCCAUGUGUAUAGAUAUAUAUAUACGUGUGUUUAUAUAUGAUUAUGGUGUUGUAUACUCAUACGAGGAUUGCUAAGCGUUGUCACACACGUAUACAACACACACCCUCUUGAGAAGAUAAACAAGAACUCUGAAAAUAUUGAAGACACCAUCUCACACACACGCAUAAGGAAUAAGGAAAGAAAAACCAGGCAUUUUGUGCACGGCCUUCAUCACUGUCGUCAAUAAAGAGACACAUAGAAUUCCGACCCUCGCCACCAGAACAUCAUCAUCACCAUCAUCAUAAUAAUCGUCCUCGGUAUAUAAUACUGCAGUAGCAGUUACAUCUCUGAUACCAUCACCACCACCACUUAUAAUAAUAAUAAUAAUAACAACAACAACAGCCUGAAGACGAAGCUGUAGCAGAACAAGAAUGAGAGCUCGUUGUAUCGCAACCUCUGUGAUCGCAUCGGCAUCAUUAUCGUCGUCGUCGUCGUCUUCAUCGCCAGCAUUGUGACCCGAAGAGACGAACUUGCAACCAUCAAUAGUAACACCACCACCAGCAGCACCACCACCACUACCAGUAUCAGCAGCAUCAUCAUCAUCAUCGCCGUAAACUGACCGUAGCUGUGACAAUCGUUAGCACCAUCAUCAUCAUCAUCUUCGUUACCAAAAAAUAGUCAGCCAAAAGACCAUACAACACCGCAAUUUUCCAUCACUAGCAUCAUUGUCGUCGCUAGCAUCUCUAGUAAAGAAAAAAAUUUUUUAAAUAGCUACAUCACCACCGCCAACAAGUGUCACCACCACCGCCACCACCAUCAUCACUAUCAUCAGUGUCUUCAGUUAAGAGAGAGAGAGCAACCACUGCGCCGCAGCCGCUCACACCGCGACCACCACCAGCAACAGCAACAACAUAAAGAAUCCCCCAUCACAAUUAUCAGCGCUGUCAUCAAAGAUAACGACCACACCACAACAACAACAACAACUAAAUCGUCUCCAGUUCUAAAACUGCAGCAACAGCAACAGCAGUAAUAAUACUACUACUACUACUAUUGAAAUAGUGAAGAUGUCCAGUCACGCAACUACCACAACUGGUAAAAAAUCGACCACGGUUUCGAUUCCUCAUCCCGACCGCAACCAGUAUUACCAAAAUGCUAUCGUACAGCCGUUACUCACAGAUCUCUACCAGAUCACGAUGGCUUACUCAUACUGGUUGUGUGGAAAAGAAAAAGAUAUCGCCUGCUUUGAUUUGUACUUUCGCAAAAACCCUUUCCACGGAGAAUUCACCAUUUUCGCUGGCCUUGAAGAGUGUGUUAGAUUUCUUGAAAAGUUCCACUUCACAGAUAGUGAUAUUGACUACUUGAAGACUGUCCUGCCUGAACAAACCAACCCAGGAUUCUUUGAGUAUCUGAAGAACAUGAAUGUGAACAGUGUCACUCUUUGGGCCAUUGAUGAAGGCACGGUAGUGUUUCCGAAGGUACCACUCAUUGUAGUCGAAGGGCCGUUACCUAUUGUUCAGUUGCUGGAGACGUGUUUCUUAAAUUUGGUUAACUAUGCAAGCCUGGUCGCUACCAAUGCUGUACGUUUCCGAUUGGCUGCUGGUUUCGAUAUGAAGUUGUUUGAGUUUGGACUGAGAAGGGCCCAGGGGCCAGACGGGGGUAUGUCUGCGUCACGAUACUGCUACAUGGGAGGUUUUGAUGGGACCAGUAAUGUAUUGGCUGGGAAAUUCUUUGACAUUCCUGUGAAGGGAACACACGCUCAUGCUUUUGUAAACUCUUUCAUUAACCUCAGCAGUCUUAAGAGCAGAACUCUAAAGAAGAACAAUUCCGAUGAAAUAGUAGAUUUCCUUAGUUUGUGCUUGGAAUGGCAGUCUCGAUUAUGUAAUCAAUUAGGAUUCUUCAAAGACCAAGUGAAUGAAGGUGAACUGGCAGCAUUUUGUUCCUAUGCCAUAUCUUUCCCCAACCAGUUCUUGGCACUCAUUGACACCUACGACGUAGUCAAGAGUGGCUUACCCAACUUUCUCACAGUGGCACUUGCCCUGCACGCAAUUGGCUACAAAGCUCAAGGUGUUAGAAUCGACAGUGGAGAUCUGGCUUACCUUUCCACCAUCUCUCGGCAAGAAUUCGAAAAGGUAGCUACAAUGUUUAACAUCCCAGUAUUUGGCAAGUUUACCAUCGUAGCCAGCAAUGACAUCAACGAGGAUACGAUCCAUUCUCUAAACCAGCAGUCAAAUACAGAUGAUAAUUCAGUUGAUAAUACGUUAGAUCAACCACAUCAUCAGAUCAACUGUUAUGGAAUUGGUACACACUUAGUGACAUGCCAGAAACAGCCAGCACUUGGUUGUGUCUUUAAGUUGGUACAAAUUAAUGAUAUUCCUCGGAUAAAACUGAGCGAAGAACCUGAUAAAAUUGGUAUCCCUGGAAAGAAAACUGCCUACAGACUAUAUGGUGCUGAUGACAUUGCUCUCAUUGAUGUUCUCAUACGUGACACAGAGCAGCCUCCCCUGGCAGGUGAGCGUGUCUUCUGUCGACAUCCAUUUCAGGAAACAAAACGAGCUUAUGUGCAACCUUCAAGAGUUGAACCACUGUACAAAGUUUACUGGAAAAAUGGGAAAGCUCAGCACAAUCUCCCAACGCUGCGACAACUGAGAGAGAAGACAUUGUCAUCAUUGAGUCACAUACGGGAAGAUCACAAGCGAGCCCUACAGCCUAGUCCAUAUAAGGUGGCUGUCAGUGACAAACUCUACACGUUCAUGCAUAAUCUAUGGCUGGAGAAUGCUCCAGUUGGGGAGUUGUGUUAAUAUUUGCUAUUGCUUCUAAUUUUUUGUUUCUUAGUACGGCCUAAUAUAUACACGUGUGUGUGUGUGUGUAUAUACAUAUAUAUGUAUACAUAUGUAUACACACACAUACAAAUACACACAUAUAUAUAUACAGACUUAUAGACACAAACAC